GCAGUCGAACGAUACCAGAGAGCUUGCUUUCUGGGAAAGUGGCGCACGGGUGCGUAACGCGUAUGCAACCUACCUUAAUCAGGGGGAUAGCCUCUCGAAAGAGAGAUUAACACCGCAUAAAAUCACACUUCGGCAUCGAAGAAUGAUCAAAUAUUUAUAGGAUUAAGAUGGGCAUGCGUGACAUUAGCUAGUUGGUAAGGUAACGGCUUACCAAGGCUACGAUGUCUAGGGGAUCUGAGAGGAUGACCCCCCACACUGGUACUGAGACACGGACCAGACUCCUACGGGAGGCAGCAGUAAGGAAUAUUGGUCAAUGGGGGCAACCCUGAACCAGCCAUGCCGCGUGCAGGAAGACGGCCCUACGGGUUGUAAACUGCUUUUAUACGGGAAUAAAUCAUGCUACGUGUAGUGUGUUGAAUGUACUGUAAGAAUAAGGAUCGGCUAACUCCGUGCCAGCAGCCGCGGUAAUACGGAGGAUCCAAGCGUUAUCCGGAUUUAUUGGGUUUAAAGGGUGCGUAGGCGGCCUAUUAAGUCAGGGGUGAAAGACGGUGGCUCAACCAUCGCAGUGCCUUUGAUACUGAUAGGCUUGAUUACACUUGAGGUAGGCGGAA
Molecule: ribosomal RNA, 611 nt
Filed under: bacterium SL2.11
Lineage: Bacteria
Description: bacterial SSU rRNA
Rfam family: Bacterial small subunit ribosomal RNA
Source: RNAcentral